UACGUAGGGUGCAAGCGUUAAUCGGAAUUACUGGGCGUAAAGCGUGCGCAGGCGGUUUUGUAAGUCUGUCGUGAAAGCCCCGGGCUCAACCUGGGAAUUGCGAUGGAGACUGCAAGGCUUGAAUCUGGCAGAGGGGGUAGAAUUCCACGUGUAGCAGGUGAAAUGCGUAGAGAUGUGGAGGAACACCGAUGGCGAAGGCAGCCCCUGGGUCAAGAUUGACGCUCAUGCACGAAAGCGUGGGAGCGAACAGG
RNAcentral lists this ribosomal RNA (251 nucleotides) under uncultured bacterium. RNAcentral describes it as "partial 16S ribosomal RNA". It matches the Rfam family "Bacterial small subunit ribosomal RNA", at positions 524 to 776 of the family's 1533-position model. The record is from RNAcentral.